RNAcentral lists this ribosomal RNA (493 nucleotides) under uncultured bacterium. RNAcentral's name for it is "partial 16S ribosomal RNA". It matches the Rfam family "Bacterial small subunit ribosomal RNA", at positions 29 to 507 of the family's 1533-position model. The record is from RNAcentral.
ACGAACGCUGGCGGCGUGCUUAACACAUGCAAGUCGAACGGUGAAGCGCCUUCCUUUUUGGUGGGUGUGGAUGAGUGGCGAACGGGUGAGUAACACGUGAGUAACCUGCCCCCUUCUUCUGGAUAACCGCAUGAAAGUGUGGCUAAUACGGGAUAUUCUGGGUCUGUCGCAUGAUGGGUCUGGGAAAGAUAUUGUUUCGGUGGGGGAUGGGCUCGCGGCCUAUCAGCUUGUUGGUGGGGUGAUGGCCUACCAAGGCGGUGACGGGUAGCCGGCCUGAGAGGGUGGACGGUCACACUGGGACUGAGACACGGCCCAGACUCCUACGGGAGGCAGCAGGGGGGAAUAUUGCACAAUGGGCGCAAGCCUGAUGCAGCGACGCCGCGUGAGGGAUGGAGGCCUUCGGGUUGUGAACCUCUUUCGCCAGUGAAGCAGGCCUGCCUCGUUUGUGGGUGGGUUGACGGUAGCUAGAUAAGAAGCGCCGGCUAACUACGUG